CUGCUGUUUACUUAGUUGCAGGGCUGUGAUCUGGAGAGGCAGAUAGCUGCGGAAGAGGCUGGCUGCUUCUUUGACACACCACAACCCCCAGGUUCGUCUGCCAGCAGCAGCAGCAGCAGCAGUGAGGGAAACAGCGACUCAGCUUCUUCCAGCUCCAGAGGAGCUUGCUGCUGGGCAUACAGGGUUAUCUGAGGUCUCCAUCUAACUCCAUUUACCCUCUCACUGUGCUUCUCCGGCUGGGGCGAAGGAAAUCCAGUCUCUCCAGAUUUCCACAAUGCAACCAAUAUUGUUCUGGAAGAUGCCUUCCUGAGACAGAAGCAGGUGAGUUCAAGGCCAGCUUGGUCAACAGAAGUUCUGGGGGCCAGCCUGGGUGGCAUAACCACUCCUUGUUCUCUUCUCUUCCCUCCUUUUCCUUUUCCUUUUUCCUUUUCCUUCCUUUCUUCCUUCCUUCCUUCCUUUCUUUUUUCUUUUUACUAAAGUGGCCUCUGCUAGUGCAACAGAAUAAUGACUAAAUUGGAGUCCAGUUCUCUACAGAUCUUCUUCAUUUGCUUUUCACAGUUUGGGUUUUUGUUGUUGUUUUUGUUGUUGUUGUUUUAAGAAAAUUCUACAUUUACGCCAAGCUCGAGUGCCGUGAAAGAAUUCGUUCUAGGUAAAGGGAUGUGCCUUGGCCCGUCUCCCAGACAAGCAUUGUUUCUAGUUAGCCUUCUCCAAUCUUCACAUCAUUCCGAUGACCCCUAGUAUCCUUGUGUAUUAGUCAGGGUUCUCUAGAGUCACAGAACUUAUGGAUAGUCUCUAGAUAGUAAAGGAAUUUAUUGAUGACUUACAGUCGGCAGCCCAGUUCCCAACAAUUGUUCAGUCGCAGCUGUGAAUGGAAGUCCAAGGAUCUAGCAGUUACUCAGUCUCACGCAGCAAGCAGACGAAGGAGCAAGAGCAAGAGCUAGACUCCCUUCUUCCAAUGUCCUUAUAUUGUCUCCAGCAGAAGGUGGAGCCCAGAUUAAAGGUGUGUUCCACCACACCUUUAAUCCCAGAUGAAAGGCAUAGCCCAGAUUAAAGGUGUGUUCCUUAAACUCAGAGAUUCAAUCUUCUGGAAUCCAUAGCCACUGUGGCUCAAGAUCUUCAAACCAAGAUCCAGAUAAGGAUCUCCAAGCCUCCAGAUAAGGGUCACUGGUGAGCCUUCCAAUUCCGGAUUGUAGUUCAUUCCAAAUAUUGUCAAGUUGACAACCAGGAAUAGCCACUACACCUUGUGACUGACUUCAUUUUACAGAUGACAGACCUGGGUCUGUACGAGUCUGGUGGGCUCCACACAGUACUUGGUGUACUGAAGCUGAGCAGAAAGACAUCUUUGUUUGUGUGUUUGUGUGUGUGUGUGUACUAGAAUUGAAUCUGGGGGCCUGUGUAUGCCAUGGUGGUCACGAGCUCUGCCAGUGAACUACAUGCCCAUCUCUGAAGACUGAGGAGUAGGUUGGAAAUUCUGGUCUUUCCUAGAGGCCCCCUCUUCACUCUGGAUUAGUC
RNAcentral lists this long non-coding RNA (1512 nucleotides) under Mus spicilegus (steppe mouse). Its description in RNAcentral is "lncRNA (ENSMSIG00000012442.1)". The record is from RNAcentral. Lineage: Eukaryota; Metazoa; Chordata; Mammalia; Rodentia; Muridae.